Molecule: ribosomal RNA, 139 nt
Filed under: uncultured bacterium
Lineage: Bacteria
Description: partial 16S ribosomal RNA
Rfam family: Bacterial small subunit ribosomal RNA
Source: RNAcentral
UGAGGAAUAUUGGUCAAUGGCCGGAAGGCUGAACCAGCCAAGUCGCGUGAGGGAAGACGGCCCUACGGGUUGUAAACCUCUUUGUCAGGGAGCAAACCUCUCCACGCGUGGGGAGUCGAGAGUACCUGAAGAAAAAGCA